CCGCUUACCAAAUACGACCAAUAUAUCAUUGAGUUUGAGACAUUGACUAGUGCAGAGGAUUGCUAGAUUUCCUAUGGGAACGAGGGAGCUACAAAUUCGGAAAGUUGCAAGUUCAAUCACUCUAUUCCAAGAAUGACCAAGGUAGCUUUCUUUCUACUUAUGUACAUUUGCUUAACAUUUAUUUUCGAUGAGCUGAAGUGUUAGAAAACUUCCAAUCCUUGUACGUUGCCUCUGACG
Long non-coding RNA from Arabidopsis thaliana (thale cress), 237 nucleotides. RefSeq annotates it as other RNA. The record is from RefSeq. NCBI's taxonomy places the organism in Eukaryota, Viridiplantae, Streptophyta, Magnoliopsida, Brassicales, Brassicaceae. The transcript has a single exon.